AACGAUGUAGAUGCUGAGGCUACAGAUCUCACAACCUACCCCGACUUGUAAUAAAUAAGUUAUGAUGUGGUGUGGAAGUGCAAUAAUGGAAAUGUGUGCGUAGCAGAGGUAUUUAUUGUCCUACGAUAUUCAUUCAUUCAUUCGUUCAAGACAUUGAUUUAGUGUCGCCCGGAAGGUAUUUUCCAAGCCCUGUGUUAAAUUCUCGGAAUGUAAAGAUGAAUGGUGAACAUUCAGAAAGAGGGGACCGCUUCGAGACUUGGCAAAUCAUUAAAUGGUUUUAAGCAGGAAAGUGACAUCGUUUAAUGGUACUGGGCAUCGAACUCACGACUUUGCAUUUGCCAGGCAGGCGCAGUGCCACUAAGCUACGGUUACCGAACUGUUACCAGAGCACCUUAACAGAUAACACAGGAAUCACCAAUCAAAAUUUUGAGGAAACAUAGCAACACCUGCUGGACACCACAAAGACAACUAAUUCGAGGGUCUCAGUAUGUAAUAAACUGGCCUUGGGCCCGUUACAUAGUCCAAGCUGGCCUCAAACUCCUGAUCCUCCUACCUCAGCAUCCUGAACACAAGGAUUACAGGAAGAAGUUUGCUGAUCCUCUCUGCUCCAGCCAUUGAAUUAUAACAUCCACCCAAACACAGACAUAAGGGUUUUACCUAUUGUUAAACAGAUUCUGGAGAGAUUCUGGGGCAGAAAGCACUGGUUCUACAUCCUGGUCGCUGAGAGGUAAAGGGUCACCUGACGAUUCCAGCAUUUGCUUAAGGCCAACUACACUGUCCAACAGAGAAUCCAGAUUGUCGUCAUCUUUUGAAUGUUCC
Molecule: long non-coding RNA, 819 nt
Organism: Heterocephalus glaber (naked mole-rat)
Lineage: Eukaryota; Metazoa; Chordata; Mammalia; Rodentia; Bathyergidae
Source: RefSeq, a predicted model, not a curated record